AUGUUCUCAUGCUGCUACUGCUUGGAGUGCCCUAUGUGUGUUGAAGCCAACAUGUGUGGCUGCAUAUGGGAUGAACUUGCAACUGCAGUGUCCAGAUGGCUAUCAUGGAAUGAUGCAAUGAAAGGAAGAAAUAAUCAUUUAGAGUAUCCUGUUCAAGAUCAGAAUUCAGUGUAAGUUGUUUAAGUUGUUUUCAGAGCAUGGCAUUAGAAUUCUUCAGUGUUUUCAGACCGUCAGGUCUGCAUUCAUAAUAAUAUGAAAGGAUGUUAAAGAAACAUGAUCUUCAUCCAGAUAUACUUGCAAAGACUUUAAAUGUGAAGGUACCUAUAUCUUCUUCCUUAGGGUUGACUGGAGUACAGUUAAUCUGGGAAACACAUUGUGCAAUGUGAUUCUUAUCAGACAAUCGUGAGGUGUUUUCAAAUUCGAAGUAGUAGUUGAUUUCUUAUUCUCAAAAAUAAGGACCAUAUGGUUUUGUGACUAGUUCCCUGACUGGCCUCCCAGCUCAUUUGGUCUCUGGCUUCCUGACAAAAUUGCUGGCUUUCUUUGGUCAUGCAUCAGAGUAAGCUAUUAGUUUUAAACAGAACUUGUAAAACAAAGCUUUAGUAACUCAUGUCUACAGUAAUAUGCAAAUUUAAUUUACUAGCAUGUAUAAAACAGGCAUCAGAUCUGUGGAGAACAUGUGAAAUUUUUCCAAGAUAAUACAUGAAAGCUUUGACAACUAUUUAUUUUUCUUUCUCAUCAGGGCGUGGUGAACACUGGUUACACAGACUUGCCAAGUAGAAUGGCUACUCAGGCCAGUAGCAUUUAUUCCAAUAACAUCUUGAAAUUAUUAAAGCUAUUUCUCCUGAUAAAGAAUAUUUUCAGUUUGAACAAAAGGAUGAUUUCGAUUAUGGGGCUAUUUAUCAUGUCAUUAGAAGAAUUUUGGUAAUGAAGGUGAGUUUCAACACCACUUAAAAUUUUUUGAUUAUAAAAUUAGAUGUGUUGUAUGAAAGCAGAGAUUUUGCUAGUGAGUUUAGCCAUUCCAUGAAAAAACAUUACUUGUCCAUAUGAUAACAUGAACUGAGUUUCUUGCAUGUUUCGAACACUGAAAUAGGGCAAAAAUAUAAAAAUCAAUGUUGCACUUUGAACUUGUGUUUUUUAAAGAAUACAUUACUGAGAGUCGGCCCAUCUGCUGAGCUACUAAGCGGUGCUUUAAGAAACUUAACUUCAAGUGCCAGAUAGUUUAUGGACUCAACAAUGUGUUGAACAAAGGUGCUAUGGCAAGUAGAAAUAGGUGAGCUGCAUGCGAUGCUCAAAAGGAUUUGAAGUAGUGUAAGUACCAGAAAGGCCAAAUGGUUUGACACUUUUAUCUUUCUGCCAAGGUCAGGAAAGGUAGAGCAUCGUUGCUUAUAAGGGUAUAGUGUUCUUCUAUUGAAGCAAGCAGGUGUUUGGCCUCAGAAUAUGAAAUGGAUUUCAACCCCAAUCUGACAUCGUUAAGCUAGGUUCUGCGUAGUCUCUGUAGUAGCAGUAGCCCUUAUACCUUCCUACAUCCUUUGAUCCCUUAUUCUGGGGAAUAGAAAAGGAAAUAGAUAUGCAGUUAAUAUGGGAGUCAGCCUUGAAAUAUAUGAAAAAUUAGGUUUGCUCUUAUGAUGGCUGUGACUUUCCAAAUGCAAGAUGUUUCUUUAGACAGACAGACCUUCUCAGUUAUGUUUAUUCUGGAUGUAAUAGAAAGCAAGCUUUAAUUUCUGUUGUCAUGGCGAGUUAAGAUUGACAGGAAUCUGUAUCUGCCUGCAGGUAGCAUUAAACCAAAGUACGUUCAUGCUAAACAAAUGUUGGCAGGCUGGAAUUACUGUUUGGCUAAGGAAGUGUUUGUAAGGAGAAGCAUAUUCAUGUCAGCUUUUAAGGAAUGUAGCACAGGACUUCAUUUUUCUUGUUUAAUCUUUGGGAGGGCAGAACAAGGCAUGAUGGGGUUUGUUCUUUUUCUCUGAAGCAUCAAGUAUACUAUGUCUGACACAUACCAAGCCAAAUUUGGUGGAGUAAGAACAUGAUGUUUUUUACAACUGACUGACUUCAAUGAUCAGUGCUAUUUUACAGGAAAAGGUUAUUUUUAUUGGUAUAAGGUAAGGGCCAAAUCUGGUUCUAUUUACUCAUGUGAGUAAUCCUACUAAUUUCAGAAGGAUAAAUGAGUAGCCAUGAUAACUUUGUCUGAACGGUCAGUCAGUCAUGAUAUAAAGAAAAGGAAGAUGCUGUAGAAAUCCAUCACAAUGAUUGUGUUGUUCUGUAGCAAGAAGAUAGGGUCUGAUUUCUAGAGCCUUUCCCCAAAACAACAUCCCGUUCUGUACUAAUGUUAAAAAAUAAAUAAAUAAAAUAGCCACA
Anser cygnoides (Swan goose) is the source of this 2352-nucleotide long non-coding RNA. Lineage: Eukaryota; Metazoa; Chordata; Aves; Anseriformes; Anatidae. The record is from Ensembl.